Mauremys reevesii (Reeves's turtle) is the source of this 455-nucleotide long non-coding RNA. RefSeq lists it as uncharacterized. The transcript has 2 exons. The record is from RefSeq and is a predicted model, not a curated record. Lineage: Eukaryota; Metazoa; Chordata; Testudines; Geoemydidae.
CACCGAGCCCUGCCCUACGCCAGCGCCAGGCUGAGGUGCCCAACGGCCUCUAUAUACAGCCCCGUGUACUGGCAGGAAGGCCCCACCGCCCUGACCUGGCUGGACCUUCAUCAACGCAACGGCUCCAUCAGCCUGGACAAGGCGACCGGCGGCGGGACCCUGCUGCUUUCCUCCUGGAACGGCACCGAUGCCAGCUAUUACCAGUGCUACGUGGGCGGGCGGCUGGUGGGCCGGUUCCUGGUUACCCCACCUAGGGUGCUGGCCCCCGCCCCAGAGCUGACCCGCGCCUACUCAGCCAUCGAGUCCCUGGUGGUGGGGCUGGCCAUCUUCCUCAUCUUCCUCCUCUUCCUCAGCAUCCUGCAAUCCUGCCGCAGGAAGCCAGGAACCAUCAUGGCUUGAGGGGGCUGCAGCUGACAUCAUCGCGAGGGGCUGGGGAAUAAACAUAUUGACCAGCA